UGUGGGAGCUGGCUUGCCUGCGAUGACGGUGGGUCAGCUUGCAGCUCUGUUGCUGAUAAACCGCCAUCGCAGGCAAGCCAGCUCCCACA
RNAcentral lists this unclassified non-coding RNA (89 nucleotides) under Pseudomonas cedrina. The record is from RNAcentral. Lineage: Bacteria; Pseudomonadati; Pseudomonadota; Gammaproteobacteria; Pseudomonadales; Pseudomonadaceae.